ACCCUGUCGUUAUUUGAUCAAGUUGCGAUGCACAACUUACCUGCUGGACAGUAUUGUCAAACAUGUCACGAAGGCGCAGGUAGACUGGGCGAGGUUGUUGUAAACGGGAAAAAAAUCCGUCAAUGUAAAGGCUGCAAAGAGAAAACAUGCAAUUUGCAGGAUGGUGAGACAUUCAUGUUGAAGUUUAUUUUACCUCCGUUAACCUCUACGCCCGUUAAUUUGAUUUUCCCGUUGAUGCGAAAGUCAACUGGUGGUAAAGUCGAAUUAGGCAAUCUUCAGUUCCAGUAUUCUUUCAUUAGAAAUUGGUGUGGCAUUCCAAAUCGUUCCACACAUGUGCAGUGGAUUGUUGACAUUUAUGGGUCGAAUGCUAAUGGGUUGGCAUUGAACUCGGACAUGACUUGGCGUUUGGCAUAGUUUCUCGAAGACAAAACCAAUAAUAAAAAGUUUGAACCCAUGAGCCAUUUGCUUCCUCAGAUACGGGCAACCAAUAGAAUGAACUUGGACAGCGUAACAAUUGCUGUACCCACUAUGGCAACUUUUGGUGUGAAGACCAGCAAUUUGGAGCACUUUCUUGAUGAAGCGAGGCAGUUUGGCAUACCAAUGGUGGACAUUUACUUUGUCAUGUAUGGGAACGGCACUGAUACAAAAAGCGUUACAUUUGACCCCAUUUGUAAGUCGGGAACCAAAAUAUUGUUGGACAUUAA
Molecule: long non-coding RNA, 704 nt
Organism: Daphnia pulicaria
Lineage: Eukaryota; Metazoa; Arthropoda; Branchiopoda; Diplostraca; Daphniidae
Exons: 4
Source: RefSeq, a predicted model, not a curated record